AUUGAACGCUGGCGGCAGGCCUAACACAUGCAAGUCGAACGAGUGGCGGACGGGUGAGUAAUGUUUGGGAAACUGCCUGAUGGAGGGGGAUAACUCCUGGAAACGGUAGCUAAUACCGCAUACCAUCAGAUGUGCCCAGAUGGGAUUAGAUAGUUGGUGGGGUAACGGCUCACCAAGGCGACUAUCCCUAGCUGGUCUGAGAGGACGACGAGACACACUGGAACUGAGACCCGGUCACGACUCCUACGGGAGGCAGCGGAGGGGAAUAUUGCACAAUGGGCGGAAGCCUGAUGCAGCCAUGCCGCGUGGAUGAGGAAGGCCUUCGGGUUGAAAAGUACUUUCAGCGGGGAGGCGUUACCCGCAGAAGAAGCACCGGCUAACUCCGUGCCAGCAGCCGCGGUAAUUC
RNAcentral lists this ribosomal RNA (406 nucleotides) under uncultured bacterium. RNAcentral's name for it is "partial 16S ribosomal RNA". It matches the Rfam family "Bacterial small subunit ribosomal RNA", at positions 30 to 526 of the family's 1533-position model. The record is from RNAcentral.